Molecule: long non-coding RNA, 1931 nt
Filed under: Daphnia pulex (common water flea)
Lineage: Eukaryota; Metazoa; Arthropoda; Branchiopoda; Diplostraca; Daphniidae
Description: uncharacterized LOC124197326
Source: RNAcentral
ACGGGAAGUUUUGCACCAUUAUCAAGAAGGUAGAAUAGCCGCAAGGCUUGAGAGGUGAGGGUGAGCAAAAAUCGUAUAAAAGGAUAGAGAAAAGGUGAAAGUAUUCAGUCGAGUAAGCAUCUCCAACGCGGCAACAGCUCCAGUGCACUAGUCGUCACCGGCUGCAUUCUUCAUCCUAUUAUCAGUUUGCAAUCAUGGUUACAAUCGAAAAAAUCUGAUGUUCACGAUUGGAGGUCACAAGAAACAUUUCGUAAAACUGGCAUGCGGUGGUGUAGAGGUUGGGUGAGAACCGGACGUUAUGCAUCAUUAUCAAAAAGUAAAAUAUGUCGUCGUACUGAUGUUGGGUGUCGUAUCGGCUCGGUCAACCACUGGUGUACUGAUGUCUUCUGGGUCUGGCGGGUGUGAAACCGCAACGCCGCACGUUACUACACCGAGGUCCCCAAGUACUACACCACCAAGUCUCCAGAUUAUUACACCACAACUUCGCUGCCCCGAGCUACUACACCGAAUUCCCGAAAAAUUAUUCUUCCCCGAGCUACGCCAUGAAAAGUGUCGAGUACUACACCGAGCCCCCUAAUUACUACACUACUACAUAUCAUGGGAGAGAAAAGGCGAUAGAUAUCAGUCGAAUGGUUAUCACCGAUAUGGCAACAUCUGCAGUGCAGUAGUUGUAGUCGUCACCAACUGCAUUCUUCGUCGUACCACCAGUUUUUGCAAUCAUGGUAAAUUAUUUUGUCGUGCUGCUGUUGGGUGUCGUUUCGUUGAUGGCCGAGUCGACCACUGGUGUACUAAUGUCUCCUGGGUAUGGUGGAUACCAAAGCACGACGCCGCCGUCUUACUAUGCAACAACAACGUAGACACGACCAGUUACUACACCGAGGCCCCCAAGUACUACACCACCAAGGAACCAGAGUGUUACACAACUACGAAUGCCGCGCCAGCUUAUUACACCGAGGCCCCCAAUAUUACUCUGCUCCCAGCUACUACACCGAGGUUCCAGCUUAUUACACCACUAAAACAGUCGAAUACUACACAGAAGUAAUCAUUAUGUAAACUAUGGCGUGCUGCUGUUGGGUGUUGGAUCGUUGAUGGCUGGAUUGACCACUGGUGUGCCGAUGUCUCCUGGGUAUGGCGGGUAUCAAACCACAACGGCGGCGUCUGACUGCACGACAACAACAUAUACGCAACGAGCAGUUACUGCACUGAGGCCUCCAAGUACUACACCACCAAUGCUCCAGAUUAUUAUACAAAACCAUAAGCUGUCCCGAGUUACUACACAGAAGCCCCGAAGUAUGAUUCUUCUCCGAGCUCCAUCACCAAGUCACCGGAGUAUUACACAACUACGUAUGCAGCGCCAGCUUACUACACCGAGGCUCCCAAGUACUACUCUGCUCUCAGCUACUGCACCGAUGCUCGAGCUUAUCACACCACCAACGGUCGAAAAGUACACAUAAGUGCCAAAGUACUACUCUUCCCCGAGCUACACAACCCUAACUGAAGCGGCCAAGUAUUACGUAGCUUCAACUUUCUACACAACUGCUGCCCCUUCGCAUUACGCUGAACCGAAAUACUACACUGAAGCCCCAGUUUACUACACCACAACCUACGCUACACUCUGCUACUACACCGAAACUCUGAAGUAGUACACUACGAAGGGACCUGAGUGCAAUGCCACUACAUACGAAGCUGUUACUACCUACUACACCGAAGCUUCGAAGUGUUACUCUGCCUCCAGUUACUUACACCGCUAAGGUAUCUCAAUGUUACAUCACGACCUACGCUUCUCCAACUUACUACAGGGAGGUUCCAAAAUAUUAGAACCGAAUUUGUUUUAUUUAUUUUGGUAUAGAUCUUCUGUCACAUAAUAGUUACUUGUUACUGGUAAUUGUUGUUGAUCUUAAGUGAGAAAAUACACUUUGUACAGCGGGUAA